This 253-nucleotide ribosomal RNA is filed under the name uncultured bacterium. RNAcentral describes it as "partial 16S ribosomal RNA". It matches the Rfam family "Bacterial small subunit ribosomal RNA", at positions 524 to 776 of the family's 1533-position model. The record is from RNAcentral.
UACGUAGGGUGCAAGCGUUGUCCGGAAUUAUUGGGCGUAAAGAGCUCGUAGGCGGUCUGUCGCGUCUGCUGUGAAAACUCGGGGCUUAACCCCGGGCCUGCAGUGGAUACGGGCAGACUAGAGGUAUGCAGGGGAGAACGGAAUUCCUGGUGUAGCGGUGGAAUGCGCAGAUAUCAGGAGGAACACCGGUGGCGAAGGCGGUUCUCUGGGCAUUACCUGACGCUGAGGAGCGAAAGCAUGGGGAGCGAACAGG